Molecule: long non-coding RNA, 2017 nt
Filed under: Jatropha curcas
Lineage: Eukaryota; Viridiplantae; Streptophyta; Magnoliopsida; Malpighiales; Euphorbiaceae
Description: long non-coding RNA (JCUR_LNC000848)
Source: RNAcentral
AAGAAUAAGCACUAAGCAAUUCUAGAAAAAUGGCACAUUUUUCUUCCAAAUUAAUAUAAGUGGUAAAGUGAUAUGCAAAUUUAAUAGGACAAACAAAUCACAUAUUAUUGAUGCUGGUAUGUUCAAUAAAUAUAAGCACAAACAGACACAUAUUUACCAGUACUGCCAGUUCAAUACAAGAUUGCGUGCCUCUUAGAGCAGAGUUAAGGCUACCUCUGAUGCAUAUUCCCCCAGCAGCAUUGUCACCUCUAUCACUAUGCAAGAAUGAAGUCACUUCAGGAUCUCCAAUACUGUGCAGCCAAGGGGGUGACUAGAGUUGGAUUCCUAUACAGCUAAAAGAAUAUAUGGAGCAAACACACAUAUAUGCAGACAAUACAUGUACUUUUGACAUGGAGGUGAAAAACAAACAAAUUCCAUAUUGAUGGGAAUGAGGGAACAAUCCAAGAAAAGAUAGACUCGUCAAUGCAACAGAGAAGAAUAAAAUAUUCCACCGUAAAAUAUGCACAAUCAUAACCUAACUGGAAAGUAAUGGCUCACAUAUUUUCAAGCUUUAAAAUGGUAAUAAGCAUACAGAAGAAUCAAAAUUAAACUGAAUGAUCUAGUCUGGACUAACCAAUCCUUGGUUCUUACAUAUAAAAUAACCUAGCCAAUCUUCUUUUUUAUUUUUUCUUUUGCCUAUUAAUCAGACUCCAAAUGGGUUCGAACUUGCAACAUCAGCCACUCUUCCAUUUUACACAAGCCAAAUGGUAAAAACUUAAAAAGGAAUCCAACCAGUCAUGUCAAAGGAUAUUUGAAACUCCUCUAAUAUGGUAAGCCAACAAAUGAGGAUAGGAAUUUAUCUUACAUUUUGGCCUGUAUAUUACAUGAGUCUAACGCAGCACAUGGUUUAUUAGUGGUAGACAUAAUUGCUUCCUUUGCUAAAGCAGUAAACAUCAUAUUCGUAAUCUGCUUCAGCAAGUGAUGUCUAAUUUCUAGAAUCUUUUUGUGGCACAUCUUUGUCCAAUACUCCAUGACUUGAUUGACAGAGAUUAAAGUGGAAUAAUUCAAAGAUAUUCCUUCAAAUAAUUUGGGCAAGUCUAACUCAUUCCUAGUUAAAUGCUGUAUCUACCGAUGUACUAUUUCUCUGCUGAUAUGACUCAACCCAAUCAGUAAACAUGCUUUUUCCGCAUAGAAGUUAGAAAAGCGUAUUUCCUAAAAAUAACAGCACAUUAAAAUGGAGAAGAUAACAGUUAGAAUUAGUUUCAAGCUCAGUUAGUCAUGCCUCAAUUCAGUAAUAUUUACUGUUAAACACGAAAAUAUAAGAGAAUGAGAACAGUUAUUAUAGUUAGUUUAAAGUAAAUGCAGAGUGAACUCAUUAUUCAAUACAGAAUCAGUACUCAAUUAUCAGAAUUUUAAGGAAUUAUUAAUUCUAAGUGAAAAUUGGCAAACACACAAUCGAAUGGUUUUGAAAAAAUUACAUUUGUAGAACGCCAAUAAUUUCUCAAACUAUGCUGCUGCAGAGGAAUCUUACAAAUAAUUGAGAUUGCAAUUAUUAUCAUAAGAUUAUAAACUCAUCCAACAAACAAUAAUAAAAUAAUAAUAGAACACAACAAAAAAAUCAUUAGAGAGGACAGUGCUCGAUUAAUAAAUAAAAGGUUUAGCUACUCUUUUAACUAACAAAAUUGCUCUUUUUUUUUCCAUAAUUUUCUAACAUAUUUUGCAUUGCAACUGACACUAUAAAUUACCCAGAUGACAAUACUGGUUUUUGAGCAAAACCCACGAUCACAAACUUAAGAAAAAAAAAACAAAGAGAAAGAAGGGAGUGUUCUCAUUUACUAAAUGGAAAGUAUGAAACUUUUAUCCUUUGAAAAGAAAACCUUGUAAAAUAUUUCCGCUACUGAGAUGGUGAAUCGCCGAGACUCCUGGAUCAGAUUCCAGCCAAUGCGUUGCAGCUUUCGAACUUGUCGACAGCAGCCGUUAGCGGUAACAUGAAGUUGAAACCGUCGACAUGUCUUGAAAGGGUUGACGGCUUUUUUUU